AUAUUGCACAAUGGGCGCAAGCCUGAUGCAGCCAUGCCGCGUGUAUGAAGAAGGCCUUCGGGUUGUAAAGUACUUUCAGCGGGGCGUACUGGAGUAAGGUUAAUAACCUUGCUCAUUGACGUUACCCGCAGAAGAAGCACCGGCUAACUCCGUGCCAGCAGCCGCGGUAAUACGGAGGGUGCAAGCGUUAAUCGGAAUUACUGGGCGUAAAGCGCACGCAGGCGGUCUGUCAAGUCGGAUGUGAAAUCCCCGGGCUCAACCUGGGAACUGCAUUCGAAACUGGCAGGCUGGAGUCUUGUAGAGGGGGGUAGAAUUCCAGGUGUAGCGGUGAAAUGCGUAGAGACCUGGAGGAAUACCGGUGGCGAAGGCGGCCCCCUGGACAAAGACUGACGCUCAGGUGCGAAAGCGUGGGGAGCAAAC
Molecule: ribosomal RNA, 420 nt
Filed under: uncultured bacterium
Lineage: Bacteria
Description: bacterial SSU rRNA
Rfam family: Bacterial small subunit ribosomal RNA
Source: RNAcentral